Molecule: long non-coding RNA, 1505 nt
Organism: Clupea harengus (Atlantic herring)
Lineage: Eukaryota; Metazoa; Chordata; Actinopteri; Clupeiformes; Clupeidae
Exons: 3
Source: RefSeq, a predicted model, not a curated record
CUAAAGGAGGACCCGCAGUGUAAACUGACAAAUCUCAGGCCUUGGAGACACUGAGUCUGUGAGGCCAUUUGCUUCACAGAGGAAAUGGGCACGAUCUCCAGCUGAGCUCCAAGGGAUCUGAACUCACAGGCUUCACACCUACCCCAGGCCAAUCAGAAAUGCUUACAUUCUAAAUUAUGUCUAAAUGAAAGCACAAUUAGAACUAGAUAUAAUAUGUAUUGACUAUGGUAUGUAUAUAAUUAUGAACUCUAAAUCUUAAUUUCUGGUUCCUUCACUUGGCACACCUAUUUUUGGGCAGUUUCUCCCAUUCUUCUUUGCAGGACCUCUCAAGCUUCAUUAGGUUGGAUGGGGAGCGUCGGUGCUCAUGUGAUUUUUUUCAUUUUUAAAAGAUUUGCAAAAAUUUCAAAAAACCUUUUUCUUUUCAUUGUGUGUAGAAUGUUGAGGAAAAAAAUGAAUUUAAUCCAUUUUGGAAUAAGGCUGUACCAUAACAAAAUGUGGAAAAAGUGAAGCGCUGUGAAUACUUUCCGGAUGCACUGUACGAGUUCUAUGAGUAUAAUUAGUAUUUUUCAUUACGAUUGACAUAUAGCAUUAGUCUCAUUAUUUAAUAGCCACACCUCAUAUGUUAUUGUAGCGCCCUCAGCACAAGAUUAUUGCCUGAAGUGAAAAAUGCAUCAAGUUUUGAUAAGUUCACCAGUUCUACCACUAGGUGGCACCAGCGCGCUAGAAACGGUGGUUGCUGUAUCCACGCUGACUCCUGCAGGAAGAAGAACAGUUCUCAGCAGGAGAAAGACAUGGGCUGUUGUCCUGAUGAAUGUAUUUGGCAUGUUUUACAGUAAACAUCAGUGAAAUAAAUGUAUGUGGCAUCAAGACAAAAUCCAACUCUCAGUCUUUGAGUGUGGUACAUUAUCAAGCUGUUGACUUAGGGGCAUCACUAAUGACCAUAGAUGAACAUCAUGUAAGACCCUUUAAGAAAAUGAUUUAUUUUGUUAAUGCUUUUCUUUCAUUGAUAAUGCUAUGUGGUUGGAGUUCAAACUGUGUGCGCUGUGUGUGCUUGAUGCCUUUUCCCUUGUUUAGUAACUAUGUAUGUUUCCCGCUGGAAUUCGUUGUUUUUCAAGGCUGUACCCAAUCCUGUGUGAGGAGAAGUAGUUGUUUUUAUUGGAGCAAGUUGGAUUUGUAGGUGGCAUGAAUGGGUAGUCUUCUGUCUGUUAAGGAGAGGUUUAGCUGUAUUAAGUUGUGUAUUCAAAAUAGACACGGGCAACAACGAGACCUGGGACUCAGCUAAUUUUCAUAGCAAGCAUUAGUUUAUCUGUGUAACUUCGUCCACGGUGCCUGAUGAAGAGAAGCGCGGAGGGAGUUUGGGCUGGGUUCACCAUCACAGAGCUGGGAGCUGAAGCUAAUAAGUUAGCCUCCAUGAACUUCAUCCUGUCCGUCAAGCAUCACGGACUACUGAGUAAUUCGUUCCUGAAAGGGAGUGCUGCUGAGGAAGCCUGUGCUGCUGUGGCUUC